This 77-nucleotide transfer RNA is filed under the name Phascolarctobacterium faecium. Its description in RNAcentral is "transfer RNA-Pro(TGG)". It matches the Rfam family "tRNA". From Rfam's summary of the family: Transfer RNA (tRNA) molecules are approximately 80 nucleotides in length. Lineage: Bacteria; Bacillati; Bacillota; Negativicutes; Acidaminococcales; Acidaminococcaceae. The record is from RNAcentral. RNAcentral also lists the same sequence under 2 other names.
CGGGGCGUGGCUCAGCUUGGUAGAGCACCUGCCUUGGGAGCAGGGGGUCGCAGGUUCGAAUCCUGCCGCUCCGACCA